CGAUGGAACACAAAUCCGUGAUUUGUAACCUUAAUUUUCGGCAUUCGUCGUCGUUGACGUUGUCGCAGAACAAGGGAGUUAUAUCGCGUUCUAGUUGAAGACAUAAUCUACAUAUCAUUUGCAUAUUGUCUCGUUCAAAAAUUUUCAGCUAAUACAAAAGAACACGCCGAUACCUAAAAAUAUCGACAAAUCCGUACAAAUCAGUACAGAUCAAAUGUGAUGUGAUCUUAAAAUUCUGAUAGUAUACCUGUUUCCAUGGGUGUUUCUACUGGAAGAUCUGACAAUUUUAAAAUGUGUGUUAGUAUGAUCCUAUUAUAUGCAUGAUUUAUUUCAUGCACAGUAUCUUCUAAAAUUUCCGUAAAAGAUUUUUCAUCAUUUAUUAUUGAUUUAUCAGCCAUUAAAGAUAGAUGUAAGUUAUCUCCAUAACUUAAUAGAGAAAAGCCAAGAGCAGUUGUACUCCUGAAAAUUAAUUAUAAAUCAUAUAUUCGUAUAUCGUUAUAAUAUACUAAUUUUGCUUAUUUUUA
This is a long non-coding RNA of Nylanderia fulva, 524 nucleotides long. RefSeq lists it as uncharacterized. NCBI's taxonomy places the organism in Eukaryota, Metazoa, Arthropoda, Insecta, Hymenoptera, Formicidae. The record is from RefSeq and is a predicted model, not a curated record.